RNAcentral lists this small RNA (27 nucleotides) under Bombyx mori (domestic silkworm). RNAcentral's name for it is "ovarian small RNA-36456". Lineage: Eukaryota; Metazoa; Arthropoda; Insecta; Lepidoptera; Bombycidae. The record is from RNAcentral.
UUACAUUGAACAUGGCUGGUCUUGAGC